This 274-nucleotide ribosomal RNA is filed under the name uncultured bacterium. RNAcentral describes it as "partial 16S ribosomal RNA". It matches the Rfam family "Bacterial small subunit ribosomal RNA", at positions 523 to 796 of the family's 1533-position model. The record is from RNAcentral.
AUACGGAGGGGGCUAGCGUUGUUCGGAUUUACUGGGCGUAAAGCGCGCGUAGGCGGCGUGUCAAGUCGAGGGUGAAAUCCCGGGGCUCAACCCCGGAACUGCCUUCGAAACUGGCAUGCUAGAGUCCGGGAGAGGAGAGUGGAAUUCCCAGUGUAGAGGUGAAAUUCGUAGAUAUUCGGAAGAACACCAGUGGCGAAGGCGGCUCUCUGGUCCGGUACUGACGCUGAGGCGCGAAAGCGUGGGGAGCAAACAGGAUUAGAAACCCCAGUAGUCC